CCGUGAGGGAAAGGCGAAAAGAACCCCGGCGAGGGGAGUGAAAAAGAACCUGAAACCGUGUACGUACAAGCAGUGGGAGCCCCACCACUAAGCCAGUGGUGAACUCCACAUACGCAUCCUUUGCUGAAGGCAAUGGUUAACGGAGCGAAAGCGACGUUCAACCGCAAAACAAGCAGAGGGGGCUUAGUGGUGGGGUGACUGCGUACCUUUUGUAUAAUGGGUCAGCGACUUAUAUUCUGUAGCAAGGUUAACCGUAUAGGGGAGCCGGAGGGAAACCGAGUCUUAAUUGGGCGUUAAGUUGCAGGGUAUAGACCCGAAACCCGGUGAUCUAGCCAUGGGCAGGUUGAAGGUUGGGUAACACUAACUGGAGGACCGAACCGAC
RNAcentral lists this ribosomal RNA (382 nucleotides) under Salmonella enterica subsp. enterica serovar Thompson. Its description in RNAcentral is "bacterial LSU rRNA". It matches the Rfam family "Bacterial large subunit ribosomal RNA", at positions 501 to 783 of the family's 2925-position model. Lineage: Bacteria; Pseudomonadati; Pseudomonadota; Gammaproteobacteria; Enterobacterales; Enterobacteriaceae. The record is from RNAcentral.